Molecule: long non-coding RNA, 1046 nt
Filed under: Oncorhynchus kisutch (coho salmon)
Lineage: Eukaryota; Metazoa; Chordata; Actinopteri; Salmoniformes; Salmonidae
Description: lncRNA (ENSOKIG00005006240.1)
Source: RNAcentral
CCCGAUACAGCCCUUGGUUGACUGCCCUCGACCAGCACAAAAACAUCCUGUGGCGGACUGCAAUAGCAUCGAAUAGUCCCCGUGAUAUGCAACUGUUCAGGGAAGUCCGGAACCAAUACACGCAGUCAGUCAGGAAAGCUAAGGCCAGCUUCUUCAGGCAGAAGUUUGCAUCCUGUAGCUCCAACUCCAAAAAGUUCUGGGACACUGUGAAGUCCAUGGAGAACAAGAGCACCUCCUCCCAGCUGCCCACUGCACUGAGGCUAGGUAACACGGUCACCACUGAUAAAUCCAUGAUUAUCGAAAACUUCAAUAAGCAUUUCUCAACGGCUGGCCAUGCCUUCCGCCUGGCUACUUCAACCUCGGCCAACAGCUCCGCCCCCCCCGCAGCUCCUCGCCCAAGCCUCUCCAGGUUCUCCUUUACCCAAAUCCAGAUAGCAGAUGUUCUGAAAGAGCUGCAAAACCUGGACCCGUACAAAUCAGCUGGGCUUGACAAUCUGGACCCUCUAUUUCUGAAACUAUCUGCCACCAUUGUCGCAACCCCUAUUACCAGCCUGUUCAACCUCUCUUUCAUCUCGUCUGAGAUCCCCAAGGAUUGGAAAGCUGCCGCAGUCAUCCCCCUCUUCAAAGGGGGAGACACCCUGGACCCAAACUGUUACAGACCUAUAUCCAUCCUGCCCUGCCUAUCUAAGGUCUUCGAAAGCCAAGUCAACAAACAGGUCACUGACCAUCUCGAAUCCCACCGUACCUUCUCCGCUGUGCAAUCUGGUUUCCGAGCCGGUCAUGGGUGCACCUCAGCCACACUCAAGGUACUAAACGAUAUCAUAACCGCCAUCGAUAAAAGACAGUACUGUGCAGCCGUCUUCAUCGACCUUGCCAAGGCUUUCGACUCUGUCAAUCACCAUAUUCUUAUCGGCAGACUCAGUAGCCUCGGUUUUUCGGAUGACUGCCUUGCCUGGUUCACCAAUUACUUUGCAGACAGAGUUCAGUGUGUCAAAUCGGAGGGCAUGCUGUCCGGUCCUCUGGCAGUCUCUAUGGGGGUGCCACAG